RNAcentral lists this ribosomal RNA (253 nucleotides) under uncultured bacterium. Its description in RNAcentral is "partial 16S ribosomal RNA". It matches the Rfam family "Bacterial small subunit ribosomal RNA", at positions 524 to 776 of the family's 1533-position model. The record is from RNAcentral.
UACGAGGGGGGCAAGCGUUGUUCGGAAUUAUUGGGCGUAAAGGGUGCGUAGGCGGUUUGACAAGUCUCAUGUGAAAUCUUCGGGCUCAACCCGAAGUCUGCAUGGGAAACUGUCGGGCUUGAGUAUGGUAGAGGUGAGUGGAAUUUCAGGUGUAGCGGUGAAAUGCGUAGAGAUCUGAAGGAACAUCAGUGGCGAAGGCGACUCACUGGGCCAUUACUGACACUGAGGUGCGAAAGCGUGGGUAGCAAACAGG